AAAAAGGUACAUAAGGGCACUGAUAGUGGAUGCCUUGACAAUCAAUACCGACGAAGGACGUAGAACUCUGCGAUAAGUCUCGGGGAGCUGAGAGCAAGCUUUGAUCCGGGAAUCUCCGAAUGGGGCAACCUAAUAUGAGUCAUGUCAUAUUGCAUUUACCUGAACACAUAGGGUAAAUAGACGGGAACCGACCGAACUGAAUCAUCUUAGUAGGCCGAGGAAAAGAGAAUAACCAAUGAUUCCGAAAGUAGUGGCGAGCGAAAUUGGAACAGCCCAAACCUUAAGAUAACCUUACGGUUUAACGACCAGAGUUAUUAAAGGGGUUGCGAAAUUAGAUAAUUUUAAUGCAGGGUAUUUGAGUUAUCAAAUAUCGCGCAUUAAAAGGAACAGCGUUAACUGAGUCCAUAAUGAUAUAACCUUUAGAUCGUAGCGGAAGUGUUUGAAUGGCACACCAAAGAGGGUGAAAGUCCCGUAUGCGAAACGGUCUUAGGCAUUAUAUAUCUUUUUUCAAGUAGGACGGGGCACGAGAAACCCUGUUUGAAUCCGGCAGGACCACCUGCCAAGGCUAAAUAUAUUGAUUGAUCGAUAGCGAACUAGUACAGUGAUGGAAAGGUGAAAAGAACCCCGGGAGGGGAGUGAAAUAGAUCCUGAAACUCAGUGCCUACAAGGUGUCGGAGCAGCUUCGGCUGUGACGGCGUGCUUUUUGUAGAACGAUCCAGCGAGUUAAUGUUGUCGGCGAGGCUAAGUCAGAUGAUGGAGCCACAGUGAAAGCGAGCCUUAACAAGGCGACAAGUCGGCAGUAUUAGACCCGAAACCGGGUGACCUAACCAUGAGCAGGUUGAAGCUGCGGUAACACGCAGUGGAGGACCGAACCAGGGUACGCAGUAAAGUGCUUGGAUGACUUGUGGUUAGCGGUGAAAUGCCAAUCGAACUCGGAGAUAGCUGGUUCUCCUCGAAAUAGCUUUAGGGCUAGCGUUGUGUAGUAACCAUCAGGGGUAGAGCUCUGACAGGGUCUGGGGCCGGCAACGGUACCCAUCCCUAUCAAACUACGAAUACUGGUGGCGGAAUCACGGCAGUCAGAACGGCGGGGCUAAGCUCGUCGCUCAAAAGGGAAACAGCCCAGAUCAUCGUCUAAGGUCCCUAAUUAUCACUAAGUGGGAAACAAGGUGAGGUUUCUUAAACAGCUAGGAUGUUGGCUUAGAAGCAGCCAUUCAUUUAAAGAGUGCGUAACAGCUCACUAGUCAAGAGACUUUGCGUGGAAAAUGUAACGGGGCUAAGCGAAAAACCGAAGACAUGGGAUUCUACUUUGUAGGAUCGGUAGAGGAGCGUUGAUAUUGCGGUGAAGCAGUAUUGUAAAGUACUGUGGAGCGGUAUCAAGUGAGAAUGCUGGAAUCAGUAACCUUAAGACAGGUGAGAAUCCUGUCGG
RNAcentral lists this ribosomal RNA (1426 nucleotides) under Candidatus Saccharimonadota bacterium. RNAcentral describes it as "partial 23S ribosomal RNA". It matches the Rfam family "Bacterial large subunit ribosomal RNA", at positions 1 to 1336 of the family's 2925-position model. Lineage: Bacteria; Candidatus Saccharimonadota. The record is from RNAcentral.